UGUGAAGGUGCACAGGGACAAAAUAGU
RNAcentral lists this non-coding RNA (27 nucleotides) under Mus musculus (house mouse). The record is from RNAcentral. Lineage: Eukaryota; Metazoa; Chordata; Mammalia; Rodentia; Muridae.